AACAAGCAGUGAUUAUCAUGACUAUAUGUCUACAAUCCUGAAACCUGAUGCUUUUCAGUCACUACCUCAUCUGAGCUUGUA
RNAcentral lists this small nucleolar RNA (81 nucleotides) under Salmo trutta (river trout). RNAcentral's name for it is "Small nucleolar RNA SNORD11B (ENSSTUG00000027915.1)". It matches the Rfam family "Small nucleolar RNA SNORD11B". The record is from Rfam by way of RNAcentral. Lineage: Eukaryota; Metazoa; Chordata; Actinopteri; Salmoniformes; Salmonidae.